AACGAACGCUGGCGGCAUGCCUAACACAUGCAAGUCGAACGAGAUCUUCGGGUCUAGUGGCGCACGGGUGCGUAACGCGUGGGAAUCUGCCCUUUGGUUCGGAAUAACAGUUGGAAACGACUGCUAAUACCGGAUGAUGACGAAAGUCCAAAGAUUUAUCGCCAGAGGAUGAGCCCGCGUAGGAUUAGCUAGUUGGUGUGGUAAAGGCGCACCAAGGCGACGAUCCUUAGCUGGUCUGAGAGGAUGAUCAGCCACACUGGGACUGAGGCACGGCCCAAAUUCCGACGGGAGCCAGCAGUGGGGAAUAUUGGACAAUGGGCGAAAGCCUGAUCCAGUAAUGCCGCGUGAGUGAUGAAGGCCUUAGGGUUGUAAAGCUCUUUUACCCGGGAUGAUAAUGACAGGACCGGGCGAAUAAGAUCCGGCUAACUCCGUGCCAGCAGCCGCCGUAA
Molecule: ribosomal RNA, 449 nt
Filed under: uncultured bacterium
Lineage: Bacteria
Description: partial 16S ribosomal RNA
Rfam family: Bacterial small subunit ribosomal RNA
Source: RNAcentral